UACGGGGGGGGGCAAGCGUUGUUCGGAAUUACUGGGCGUAAAGGGCUCGUAGGUGGCCAACUAAGUCAGACGUGAAAUCCCUCGGCUUAACCGGGGAACUGCGUCUGAUACUGGGAGGCUUGAAUCCGGGAGAGGGAUGUGGAAUUCCAGGUGUAGCGGUGAAAUGCGUAGAUAUCUGGAGGAACACCGGUGGCGAAGGCGGCAUCCUGGACCGGUAUUGACGCUGAGGCGCGAAAGCCAGGGGAGCAAACGGG
RNAcentral lists this ribosomal RNA (254 nucleotides) under uncultured bacterium. RNAcentral's name for it is "partial 16S ribosomal RNA". It matches the Rfam family "Bacterial small subunit ribosomal RNA", at positions 524 to 776 of the family's 1533-position model. The record is from RNAcentral.